GAUGAAGAACGUAGCAAAAUGCGAUAAGUAAUGUGAAUUGCAGAAUUCAGUGAAUCAUCGAAUCUUUGAACGCACAUUGCGCCCGCUGGUAUUCCGGCGGGCAUGCCUGUUCGAGCGUCAUUUCAACCCUCAAGCCCCCGGGUUUGGUGUUGGGGAUCGUCUCUGCCCUUCUGGGCGGUGCCGCCCCCGAAAUACAUUGGCGGUCUCGCUGCAGCCUCCAUUGCGUAGUAGCUAACACCUCGCAACUGGAACGCGGCGCGGCCAUGCCGUAAAACCCCAACUUCUGAAUGUUGACCUCGGAUCAGGUAGGAAUACCCGCUGAACUUAAGCAUAUCAAUAAGCGGAGGA
This 348-nucleotide unclassified non-coding RNA is filed under the name soil metagenome. Its description in RNAcentral is "partial contains 5.8S ribosomal RNA, internal transcribed spacer 2, and large subunit ribosomal RNA". The stretch from base 1 to 120 matches the Rfam family "5.8S ribosomal RNA", at positions 35 to 154 of the family's 154-position model. The record is from RNAcentral.